RNAcentral lists this long non-coding RNA (914 nucleotides) under Helianthus annuus (common sunflower). Lineage: Eukaryota; Viridiplantae; Streptophyta; Magnoliopsida; Asterales; Asteraceae. The record is from RNAcentral.
AAUCAACAAAAUAGCUUAGAUAACCUGAGUUUUGAAAACAUAGUAAUCUAAUACUUGUAAAGAUUAUGCAACCCGAUACUGGAAACAAAACAGUUCUAAAGCAAAUACUGAGGCGGACACCGGACAAAUGCUGAAAACAGAGACUGAAAUUCUGGCACUGAAACAGAUACUUACAUAACUUGAGUCCCAAAACUUAUACUGAACAGAUAACAGAUACUGAACAUAAUCAGAUGCAUAUAAACAUAUCAACAUAUCAUAACAGAGACAAGACAUACGUGACAACAUAUAACAGUAAAACAAGUCACGUAAUAUAGAAGCACCCACGAGCCUAAACAGAGGCAUGCAUGGCUAUAGUCCAUGCGCCGAGAUGGUGCAUGUAGGCGUACACACAUUAUUCCAUCUCAACAGGAGUCAGGAGUCAGGAGUCAGGAGUCAGAGCUAAGAUCGAUCUAUUCGCCUCUAGGGGCCAUGUGCUACACAAGCACAAACUAGAAACGCCGUGAACUUUAGUUACGCACCGUCACGAUGAGUGCCAUGCCGUUGACGCCCCAACGACAAGUAACUUAUAAUUGCUCGGGUGACAGAGUACAAAGCGUAUCAGAAAUAAAAUUUCUUGACAUAAGUCUAAAGGGAACAUGCAAUAACGAGCACAAAAUCUAAGGUUUAUUGCAUGCUACAACAAAUACUAAUCACGAAAGAGAAACAACUAGCGAAAAUACCCGUACUACAAAGUAACGGACGUGAAUAAUAAUACUAUGAUGAAAAGAAAACAGAAUCCGUACCUUAUUAGCAAGCAAAGCAAAACCAAAUAAUCAAGUCGACCCGAAAAAUCAAAAACCUAUAAUCCCGUUAUAAUCUUAAUUAGUUUUAUGAAAAUUUAUAUACAUUAAGUGGUUCAUUCGUUGAGUGGUUCC